UACGUAGGGGGCAAGCGUUAUCCGGAUUUACUGGGUGUAAAGGGAGCGUAGACGGACGGGCAAGUCUGAAGUGAAAGGCAGGGGCUCAACCCCUGGACUGCUUUGGAAACUGUCUAUCUAGAGUGCCGGAGAGGUAAGCGGAAUUCCUAGUGUAGCGGUGAAAUGCGUAGAUAUUAGGAGGAACACCAGUGGCGAAGGCGGCUUACUGGACGGUAACUGACGUUGAGGCUCGAAAGCGUGGGGAGCAAACAGG
Molecule: ribosomal RNA, 253 nt
Filed under: Blautia schinkii
Lineage: Bacteria; Bacillati; Bacillota; Clostridia; Lachnospirales; Lachnospiraceae
Description: partial 16S ribosomal RNA
Rfam family: Bacterial small subunit ribosomal RNA
Source: RNAcentral